Molecule: RNA transcript, 2200 nt
Organism: Gorilla gorilla gorilla (western lowland gorilla)
Lineage: Eukaryota; Metazoa; Chordata; Mammalia; Primates; Hominidae
Gene: SHISAL2A
Gene name: shisa like 2A
Exons: 6
Source: RefSeq, a predicted model, not a curated record
AGAGCCGGGCGAGCACGCGGCUCCCGGCCCAGCUCCCCGCGUCCGCUCCGGCUCCUGCCGCGUCCCAGCAGCCGUCACUCCCGCCGCCGGCCCCCGCCGCCCGCCCCGCCUGCCCCUACCCCUCCGCGCGGGCCGCGCACCUGGCCGCCGCUCGGUCCUCGGGGCCCCGCGCUGCUGUCUCCGUCUCGUCUUCUCUCGGCCCCUGGGUCUCUUCGUCUCUGCCGUUCUCAGGCUCAGCUCCGUCUCGCUCGGUCCCUCGCUUCCCCGCCGGGCUCUAGCCGGCCGUCUGGUGGCCCGAGGUGGCGGCGGGCCGGGCGCGGGGCGCGAUGAGCGGCGCCUGCACGAGCUACGUGAGCGCAGAGCAGGAGGUGGUGCGCGGCUUCAGCUGCCCGCGGCCGGGGGGCGAGGCGGCCGCUGUCUUCUGCUGCGGCUUCCGCGACCACAAGUACUGCUGCGACGACCCGCACAGCUUCUUCCCCUACGAGCACAGCUACAUGUGGUGGCUCAGAAAUGGGGUUUCACCAUGUUGCCCAGGCUGAUCUUGAAUUCCUGGACUCAAGUGAUCGGCCCGCCUUGUCAUCCCAAAGUGCUGAGAUUACAGCAUUGGCGCUCUCAUAGGCCUGUCUGUAGCAGCAGUGGUUCUUCUCGCCUUCAUUGUUACCGCCUGUGUGCUCUGCUACCUGUUCAUCAGCUCUAAGCCCCACACAAAGUUGGACCUGGGCUUGAGCUUACAGACAGCAGGACCUGUGCAGGUUGCCACAAACAAGAGGAAUCAGACAGUUCUCGCCCUCAAGGGGCUCACAUGGAGGACAAGGCAGGCACACAAAUGGCCAGGAGGCCCAGUGGUGGCCCUUCCUGGGGCUUUAGGGAGGAAGAAAUGAUGUCUGAGCUGAAUCGUCAAAGAUGACUCAAAGUUUCCAGGUGGUUCCUAACUUCCUGGCAACAACCACAAUUGUAAUUCGUUCAAAGAGAUUGACUGCUGUGGAGACAGAUCAUCACCAUCACCAUCACCAUCACCACCACCACCAUCAUCAUCAUUGUCAUCGUCAUCAUUAUGUUGCUUUUAGCUCACUGGAGCCUCACAGAACCCUGUGAGGGCAUGGGCAGAUCUUCCUCAGAGGAGGCCUCAGCAAGUGUCAGCCACAUGAAUGAGUGUAUGGAGCAAAGGAGGAGUGAACGUCUAGGAGACCAGCCCUUACCCCAACUCCUCCCGAUCCGCUCCUACUCUGGACUCCAAUCUAUGCCCUACCCCAGCUCUUGGAUUUGGCCUUUGGAUCAGGUUCUUCUGGUAAUGAAGCCUCACCUUUCCCCCAACUAACUCUGAUCUGGCCUACCCUGCUCCUGACUAACCUCAAGGAUCCUGAGUCUCCUUCAGCCUAAUAGCUCCAGAAGCUGAACUCCAGCCCUAAGAGCCCCAGCUGCAGACAGGCCUCUGGCCAGGAGCUUAGUCAGGCUACCCUGACUAAGCCACAGGGUUGGCAUGCCCUCUGGGCAGCCCCUGAACCGGGCUCUGAAAACACUGGAAUGGACAAGGUAAUCUACCCAAGUCCUGAGCCUGCAAGGUAGUUGAGACAGAUCUUGAAGGAGAGUGGGCACAGUCAGAAAGGAAAAAGUGGCUCAGUGUAAAAUAAAACUGACACAAGCCCAUGUACCAGCAGCCAAUUGGAUCUUUUUUUUUUUUUGAGAUGGAGCUUCUCUUAUUGCCCAGGCUGGUCUUGAACUUCUGAGCUCAAGCGAUCCUCCCACCUUGGCCUACCAAAGUGCUGGGAUUACAGGCGUGAACCACCAAUUGGAUCUUUACUGGACCCCUACAGGGCACUGAGCUAGGGAAUGUUGGAGAUUCAGAGGCUGAAUCAGAUAGCAGCCCAACCCUGAGAUACAACUGAGCUACAGGCAAGAGGAUACUACCGGGCGCAGUGGCUCACACCUUUAAUCCCAGCACUUUGGGAGGCCGAGGCAGGUGGAUCAUGUGAGGCCAGGAGUUCGAGAAUACCCUGGCCAACACGGUGAAACCCCAUCUCUAUUAAAAAUACAAAAAUUAGCUGGGGUUGGUGGCACAUGCCUUUAAACCUAGCUACUUGAGAGGCUGAGACACGAGAAUCACUUGAACCUGGGAGGUGGAGGUUGCAGUGAGCUGUGAUCACGCUACUGCACCCCAGCCUAGGUGACAGAGCGAGACUCUGUCUCAAAAAAAAAAAAA